AUGGCAGCGAUCAUGGCGGCGCGCGGGCAGGGUCUGGAGCAAGAUUUCGAUUUCUUCGUGGUGGUCGACUUCGAGGCGACCUGCGUCAAAGACGCGCGGAUCUUCCCGCAGGAAAUCAUCGAGUUCCCCGCGGUGCUCGUCGACGGCGCCACCGGCCGCAUCGUGUCCGCGUUUCGCAGGUACGUUCGUCCUAAGCAUCACCCUGUGCUGACCCAAUUUUGCAGGGAGCUCACCGGCAUCCGGCAGGAGGACGUCGACGGCGGCGUGGAACUCGGCGAGGCGCUCUGGCUACACGACGCUUGGCUGAAGGCGGCAAUGGCGGGAGCAGGGAACAAGAGAGGUGUUCGCUUGGCCGUGGUGACCUGGGGGGACUGGGACUGCCGGACCAUGCUCGAGUUCGAGUGCCGCUUCAAGGGCAUCGAGAAGCCCUCCUACUUCGAUCGCUGGAUCAACCUGAGGGUCCCCUUCCAGGCGGCGCUCGACGGCGGAGGGCGGGUCAACCUGCAGGAGGCGGUCCGGGCGGCGGGGCUGGACUGGGAGGGCCGCCUGCACUGCGGGCUGGACGAUGCGCUCAACACGGCGCGGCUGCUUGCUGAGAUCAUGCGGCGCCGGGCCAAGAUCACCAUCACCGGCUCGCUGGCGCCGCCGCCGCCGCCGCCGAUCCAGCAGAAGCAGCAGCCUGGCGCAAGCCCUUGUGGUGGCUCAUCGGUGCUGGCGCCGCCACCGAUCCAGCAGCAGCCGCCUCGCACAGGCCCUUGCAGUGACACAUUUGCGCUGGUGCCGGCGCAGGCGCCGAACCAGCAGAAGCAGCAGCCGCCGCCACCGCAGCCUCACAUAAUCAGCCCCUGCGGUGGCUCCUCCGCGACAUGCUUCUCAUACUGCGGGGUGGCGACCAGAGGAGCCAUGGAGCCAGGGCCGAUGCGGUCUGGAUGCGCCAACUGGACGCCGGCCAUGGGACCUUACUUCCUGUGGAGCAACUGA
RNAcentral lists this ribosomal RNA (981 nucleotides) under Triticum aestivum (bread wheat). Its description in RNAcentral is "partial small subunit ribosomal RNA". The record is from RNAcentral. Lineage: Eukaryota; Viridiplantae; Streptophyta; Magnoliopsida; Poales; Poaceae.